RNAcentral lists this transfer RNA (72 nucleotides) under Mycobacteroides abscessus. Its description in RNAcentral is "tRNA-Ala(tgc)". It matches the Rfam family "tRNA". Rfam says of the family: Transfer RNA (tRNA) molecules are approximately 80 nucleotides in length. Their secondary structure includes four short double-helical elements and three loops (D, anti-codon, and T loops). Further hydrogen bonds mediate the characteristic L-shaped molecular structure. tRNAs have two regions of fundamental functional importance: the anti-codon, which is responsible for specific mRNA codon recognition, and the 3' end, to which the tRNAs corresponding amino acid is attached (by aminoacyl-tRNA synthetases). tRNAs cope with the degeneracy of the genetic code in two manners: having more than one tRNA (with a specific anti-codon) for a particular amino acid; and 'wobble' base-pairing, i.e. permitting non-standard base-pairing at the 3rd anti-codon position. The record is from RNAcentral. Lineage: Bacteria; Bacillati; Actinomycetota; Actinomycetes; Mycobacteriales; Mycobacteriaceae. RNAcentral also lists the same sequence under 3 other names.
GGGGCUGUAGUUCAACGGUAGAACAGGGCUUUUGCACGGCUCUGAUCGGGGUUCGAUUCCUCGUAGCUCCAC